Molecule: ribosomal RNA, 252 nt
Filed under: uncultured bacterium
Lineage: Bacteria
Description: partial 16S ribosomal RNA
Rfam family: Bacterial small subunit ribosomal RNA
Source: RNAcentral
UACGGAGGAUGCGAGCGUUAUCCGGAUUUAUUGGGUUUAAAGGGUGCGUAGGCGGACUGUCAAGUCAGCGGUAAAAUUGAGAGGCUCAACCUCUUCCCGCCGUUGAAACUGGUGGUCUUGAGUGGAUGAGAAGUACGCGGAAUGCGUGGUGUAGCGGUGAAAUGCAUAGAUAUGACGCAGAACUCCGAUUGCGAAGGCAGCGUACCGGCAUCCAACUGACGCUGAGGCACGAAAGCGUGGGGAUCAAACAGG